RNAcentral lists this non-coding RNA (118 nucleotides) under bovine gut metagenome. RNAcentral's name for it is "THF riboswitch". It matches the Rfam family "THF (Tetrahydrofolate) riboswitch aptamer". From Rfam's summary of the family: THF riboswitch presents a pseudoknot that joins P1-P2 and the loop of P3 and two THF binding. The record is from RNAcentral.
CAGAGUAGACCGAGGCGCGUACGGUCAAGCGAAAGGCUUGACCCAGUGCCGUGCGGACGGGGAGUUGCCGCACGGACGAAGGGAGUUCUCCCGCGGUGCGUCGGUCGCAUCCCGCUGU